This is a long non-coding RNA of Pseudopipra pipra, 902 nucleotides long. RefSeq lists it as uncharacterized. NCBI's taxonomy places the organism in Eukaryota, Metazoa, Chordata, Aves, Passeriformes, Pipridae. The transcript has 2 exons. The record is from RefSeq and is a predicted model, not a curated record.
GCAGGGUAUUUUCUGGGAAGGCAAAGCCAUAGCUAACCAGCAUGCAUGGCAAAGCAGGAGGGAGAAGAGAGUGGUCUAAGAAUUCCAACAAGCCACAGAGAGGACAAUAGACAAUGAAUACAGGAGCAAUAGGAAAUAAAUAGUAUUUGUAAGGGAAAAGUUUUGGCCUUUGGAAUGCAACAGAAAACAACAGACAUUGAAAGAAAAAUAAGCAAAUAUUUCCUAGAAGAAGCUAGGAUACGCCUGAAAUCCAGCCGUAGGACAGCAGGAUUCCCGACGGAACCGUGUCAAUGCAGCGAUCGCAUUUUAAAGAGCGAGGCAGCGUUUGAGAAGUGUUGGAAGAGGGGGCGGGGAGCGGAGCUGCCCCUCUGCCUUGGACACAAGGCAGCUCUGACACAAACAGCUCCCACUGAACUGGCAGCUCCCGCCGCACGCACGAUCCAGCUUCCGCCUCUGGAUGUUUGCGUUGGGAUCCCGACCAGCUCCCACCCAAAUCGAUGGAUUUCGCUGUAGGCACCAAAGUGAGACCGAAGUACUUUCGGUCUUAAUUGUCAGAUAAGCAUAAAAUCUCUGGGAAAAAAAAAAUUAUAUCGUUAUUGGCACAGGCUAAUUACAAGACAUAACAGCAAAAUAAAUAAAUGAAAAAAAAAAAAAAAAAAAAAAAGGUGGAGAUGCCCAGACUUGUGCUGUGGCCAAACCAGUAGGUGUACCUAGAGUUACACCUAUGGGCUCUCCCUGCACGGGGACUGUGCAAACAAGGAAGCUCCGUGCAGGAGGGAGACUCAUUUACCAGGAAUACUUCGACACUCAAGGCAAAUCAGGAGUGUGGCCAAGGUGUAAUAUUUUAAUUUUAUUUUAUUUUUUCAAGUUGCUGGCAAAUAAAUUUCUCUUUCUUCUCAUGG